UCACAUGAAAUAACAUAAUAUGUUUUAGGAAACAUUUAUCUUUAAAUAGAUUCGACGCGCCCAUUCGACUCUCCACGCGCCUCCGAUAUCAAUCACCUGAAACUAUUGAAUAUGGGAUGGGCAUACAAGGUACACUCAGUGUGGGAACAUGCAAUAAUUGUCCAUGUUAAUAAAAUGGUAACACAUAUUGUCAUAACGUAACAUAACUUCCAUACGCACUGUGGCAACUCCAAGGACUUUAAUGUCCCGGACCCUAUAUAUGGAUCCCUGGCGACAAUAUAAUGGUUGCAACCCUGUAAUAUGAAAUCGCAUUGUGGCAUACCAAGGACGGUGAAGUCCUGGACCAAUUAUGCUGGCCCCUAGCGAUAAAUAUUUUUACAACACAUAUGGUAAACACAUAAUAUUAAAAUGGACAAAUAUUAACCACGUGCAUGUACUGAAAUAAAUCCCACACCUGAAACUUGAACUUUUGAGCUUUGAAAAUUAACUGCAAGAAUUUAAAGUUCACAUCCUAGUCGCGCCGCACCUAGUCAGAUAAAUUCAAAUAAUAACAUAUAAGGGCCUAUUUGAACUUUUAGGAAAAUAAUAUAAACUAUAGGAUCAUUUAAAAAUAAUUGAUCUAAUAAAUUUAAGUAGUAAAAUAUAUUUUCUCAUGAAAAUUUGGAUUAAGAAAUGAUUUAAUAAUUUAAAUAAUAAGAUAUAAUUUCUUAUGAAAAUUUUUGAUUAGUAAAAUAAUUUAAGGAAAUAAAUAAUGAGAUGCAUGCUUCUUUAAAAUUUGGGUUAGUGUUAAAAAUACCAAGUCCAAUUUAAUUAAAAGAAUUAUGCAGCCCAAAGCAAAUAAAUGCAGCCCAAUUACUUAAUUAAUCUGAGCCCAUUCCUAAGCCCAUACUAACUUUUCCUAAUUAAAACCCCCAAUUCACCAACACAUAACACAUACGCAGCCUCACAUCUUCAUUCUCUCUACCGCUCUCUCUCUCAGCCGUUCACUCGGCCUCCUGCUGCCGCCCCGGACGGCACGCCGCCGCCGGAGGCCGGCGGCUCUGCCUCCCCCUCCCGUCUCCUCAACCUCUCUCCCUCUUCCCUCAGGUCUUGUCUCCCUCUCGCUCCCCGUCGAUCUCUCUCCUCACCGCACCCAGCUGCGGUCGCUCCGACGACCUUUGCCGACUACCAGAUCUGGCGUCCUCUUCCUUUUCCGGCCGGCAGAAACGGCCGCCGCCUCCCCUUACCCCUCUCCCUUCUCUCUCCUGGCCGACAGCAGCACCACCAUCGCCGCCCCCGCGUCGACAGCGGCGCCGCCCAGCCGCCUCCUUCCUCUGUCCGACCAAGAACAGCACCGCAGCGGCCAAGGCCAUAGCGCCGCCGCCCCUGUCUCCACCUCCGUCGGCCGCCGUGGCGCGCAGCUCCGGCGGUAUUACUGCUCCACCGUUUCCCCUCUUCUUCCCUCUCUCUUUCUGCCUCCCCUAUUUCUAUUUCCUUUUUCCAUGUAAUAUAUAAGAUCUAUUCUAUUUGAUUUCUUAUUAAAUAUAAAUGAUAGAUUUGAUGAUGUAUGCAUGUAUGAAUUUAUAAAAACAAGAAUUUUGUGGGAGUUUGGUUGUUUUCUGUAAAUUGAAAGAAAACAGAAAUCUUUGCAUAUGAAAAUAAACUAUACAAGUUUUUGAGAAUUACCUAUGGAGAUUCGGCAGUGGAAAGGAAACAGGAUGAAUUAUAAAAGACUUUUUCCUGUUGGAUUUUGUUGGGUAUUUGCGAUGAAGAAGAUUAGAUAUACAUAUAUAUACUGGAUUGAAAUAUCGUGGUUGAGGAGUAAAAAUCGAAUUUGUGAAUUUGAGUAUUCGUCAAAGAUUUGAAGUGUGAAAGAAAUCCUACUAUGGAAGGAAAAAAAUCAAGAUUUGAAAUCAAAGUUUCGCUGCUGUGGUUGUCAAAUUUUACGGAAAGGGAGUUUGAUUAGUGAAUAGGUGUGUGCUUGUGAUUUUUCUGAAUAUAUAUAGAAUGUUCAGAGAAAUACUUGUAGUUGUAGAGAUGUAAAAACAAGAAAUGAUAAAUUGUACUGAAAUAGAAAUUUCAUAGAUUGAAAAUUAAUACCAUGUUGAUUGAUCUGCAGUUAGAGAGAAAAACUUGAUUAUCUCGAAGUAUAGUUUUUGCUUUGUAAAAUUUGCAGAGAUGGAGUAGAAGAUGUAUAUAUAUAUGAUGAGCAUAAAAAUGGCUAAAUGAAGAAAAAUAGGGACGGUUAGAUAUCUGAUAAGAAUAAAAAUAGGAAUGGAUGGCUUGGAGACUUCUUUAAACAAAUGUAAAUAAAUAGAGUAGAAAUUGUUAAUUUGCAGAUACGAAAAUAAGGUAUCCAAAUCCUUGAAAUCAUUAAUAAACUAUAAAUGUUGAAACUUGAAUAAUUGUUUUAGGAUCACUGCAAAAGAAUUUGGCAUAUUAAUAACAAUAAGCCCAACACUAACAAAAUUUAUGAAAUUAUUUUAUUCUUAAUCCAAAAUUAAUAUAAUGUCCAUGAUAAAUAUAUUUAAGUAAAUAAAUUUAUUUAGGUCCAAAUUUAUAUAAAAAUAUUUUUGAAUAUAAAACUUUAUUUCUAUAGGUAUAACCUAGAAUUUAGAGUCAUACAUCUAGCUAGGGGCGCGACUAGAUAAUUCUCCACAAACUCGACUCAUAGAUUUAUAUUUUUAAUAUCUCGAAAAUAUAAAAAUUUUCAAAUAAAAUUUGCAAAGGUAGUAAACGGUUUUGGGCUGUGACAUGACUACGAUGAAACCUUUGCCCUUGUUGCAAGACUAGAAGCAGUCAAACUUUUCCUAGCCUACGCCACUAAUAAGAGAUUCAAAGUACACCAAAUGGAUGUGAAGUGUGCAUUUCUCAACGGAGUGCUCACUGAUAAAGUUUAUGUGGAACAGACUCCAAGAUUUGAAGUUGCUGGACCAGAUAAGGUGUACAAACUGAAGAAAGCGCUCUAUGGUUUGUAAGACAAACAACCAACGAAGCAUGGUAUGAUACUCUCUCANAACUAAUAAACUGCUUUUACUCCGAACUCGUAUGGAGUCGAAUUUUAUAUCAAUAGAAACCUCUUUGAGUCUAGUUUAAUUGAAAAAAAGUAUGUUGAAAAACUCCAAGUAGUUUAAGAGAUAUAGCGAUUUUCCCAUCGCCUACCAGAUUCGGCAGUUUCUGCCAACUGAAAGUCCAGAUUUUUGAAAAAAUAGCAAACGUUACCUGAAUGACCUCAAAUUUUAUAUGCAGAUAGAUAACGCAUAUAAAUUUAUACCAUAAAAAUUUGAGAGCUAAAUAUCAACAUAUGGUUACUGAAAUAGUUAACUUAAUCAUCUGCCUUACGACAGUUUCAACAGAUACGGGCAGUAGACUUCUCAAAUUUUAAAAGGGUAGUAAACGAAGUUCAAAUAACAUGAAACUUUGUACAAAUAUUCACCACACUCCCAUCUAUACCCCAGAAAUUUCCCAUAAUAUAAUAGAAACGGGAAUGCAUCGAAAUAAGGGCGUCAACUUACCCUUGUCCAAGUGAGCACUAAUGGAAGUUGUUCGCCGGGGGUUUUUCUGGUCGUCGUUCCGCGAUGGAGUUUAGCCGCGAAGGUCUACGACUUAGUUUUCCUCGUGCGAGGUAGAUCAGGCUACACAACGGUGGUUUCUCGAUCCUUUUUCGUCGUAAGGAUAGUGAGAAACGAAGGCCGUAAGUUGGCCGGUGGCUAAGUCGGGAAUUCGACGUUGGCCGCCGAAGGAUAUUGCGGCCUUUGGUCAGGAAAAUAUAUAGAGAAGGCUUCGGCCUUUCGAUUGUUGGGUUUGGUAGCCUGAAGAUGGAGGAACGAGUACACGUUCUCGGUUCAGAGCCUAGUGGUCGGUCGGCGAAGAAACAACCCGGCGAAGGGAGCUCACUUGAGCUCUUGCAAGUAAGAAAUUUAAAAAAAAUUCUCCUAAACUCUCUCUUGCCUCACACCUCUUGCUGCACUUCUAUUUAACAAAGGGAGAAAAAAUAUACAGUGUUUACAACACUCACAACACUCAACUCACAACCCGUUAUACCCCGAGAAAAUUACUAUCUAAUUUUCUCACACCAAAAGCUUCUAACUAAGCUUUUGUCUCAAACCCUCAAACUCUCGUAUUUGAGAUUUUACUUCAACUUACUCUUGCUCUCUCUAACAGAAAGAAGUAUUUUCUGCUUUGGUGUGUUUUUAAACUGCUGCGAAUCCUAGCAAUUUAUAGGCAAAACUGGAAUAGUGUUACUGUAGCAAAGGUUGAAAAAUCAUGUAGCAAAACUGGAAUACGUGAAAGUCCAAAGCAGCCAAAAUUUUCUGCAAAGCACCAAUUUUUUUGACAAAUUGUUAGCACCAACUUUUUGACUAACAAGGGAAUAGUGUAGGAAUUGAUGUGUUGGAUGAAAAAUCGAGACAUACGUGUAGUGCCGUGAUCUAGUUUCUCCUAGUUCCUGUAAUAAUUCUCCAAUUCUCGUUUAAUAAAUACUCGUCGUAUUUAUAUAAAUUAAAUCCUCAAUCUUGAGAUUUAAUACGUGAAAGUCGAAAUUAAUUCGCGACUUAGUACUAAACAUAUAAAGCGUGAAAUAAUAAAAUUAUUAUUAACAUAAACUCGAGUUAUAAUUCUAGCAAUUCGAUUUAAAUAACACGAUUUAUGAAAUCGGUUAUAAAUCUAAAAUUUCUAAUACUAUUGAUUAAAUCAAUCAACUGGUAAUGCAAGGUCUCAAACGUGUAGCUAAACCAAUAAUUUAAUUAUUGGUUUGAUUCAUGAUUGAAUAUUAAAUCGCAGCUCUGUAUCUCUUAUACAGACUUUUGCUGAAAUAAUAUUAUCUGAAUAAAAUAGUCACAAUAAAUAAUUAAAAGAAUUUUAUAACUAAUGCACAUGUUUAAUCUAAUAUAUAUUUAAAAGAGCGGGGCAUUAUGUGUGUUAUGUUAGGGUUAGUGUUUAGGUUGGGCUCAAGGUUUUGGGCUUGUAUGUGGGCCGAAAAUUUUUAUAAAAAAAGAAAGAGAGUGGGCCGAUUUUUAUUUCUAUGUGGGCCGAUUUUAUUUUAAUUCUGCUGGGCCCUUUUUGUUCUUAAUUGAUGGGUUUUUAUUUUAGUUGUGUGGACUAAUUUUAUUUAAAUGCUUGGGCUAUUGUUUUAAAUAUAGGCCUACGAAUCUUGGCCUUAUUUUUUUUUAAAAAAAAAAAUGUUUGAAUUUACACUAAAUUAUUUAAUGAAUUUAAAUCUCUUGAUUUAAAUUUUAAUAUUUAAAGUUGGGAUUAUUUAUUCUAAAUGAAGUCCAUUCUAUUAUUUAAAUUAUUAAUGGACUUUAAAGCAAAUAUUUUGGGAUUAAGCCCCAUUUAUUAUAUGAUAAAAUUAUUUUCAAAGCUUACGAGUAUGGAUUUCUUUUUUUUUUAAUGGUUAAAAUGUUUUAUUUCAUCUCAAUGGAUUUUAAAAUGUUUUAUUAUUUAUAAAUGAAUAAUGGAAUUUCUUAUUUAUUUACAUAAAAAAAAAAUGAAAUGUAUAGAAUAUUAUAAAUAUGGUUUCUUUUAAAAGAAAAAGGAUUAAAUUAUUUUAUGAGUAACUCCAUUAUAAUGGAAUUAAAAUGUCCUAUUAGAAUGGCUUCAUGUUUUAAAAAAAAAUAUUUAGACUAUUUAUGUAGAAUUGUGUUAUAGAAUGAUUAAGUAUAUGAUUUACUUUAUCAAAUGAGCUUGGGGAUUUAAUUGAGAUAUUAAAUUGCUAAGCAUAUGUUUAUAAAUGAUUUAUUUAUUUAAGUGAUGAAAAAUGUGCGAAGUAUGAGAAAGCAUGAUUUAUAAUGAUUAAAUUUUCAGGGUAAUAAUAUAUAGCUUGUUCUUAAUUGAUGGAGUACUUGACUAAAUGACGGGUGUAGAAGGAAGUUAUGGAUUAUGUACAUGUUGAUGUUCGAACAAAUGGGUUCGAACCUAUAUGAUAGUUACAUGAUAAUUGGUUACAUUUUAUUGAUUGAAUGAAACGAGAUUAAUAUGGAUGCUAGAACCCUAAAACAUUAAAAGAUACCUUAGGCACGUAGAAUUAGACUUUGUCUUAUGACAAUUUCUUCACGAACUUAUCGACUCUUCAUCAAUGAAGGUCCGGGCGACAGAAAGUGAAGCAGAAGAAGAAACGACUCCACGCCAGCUUUAAGAACAAUUGAGGUGGGCAUUAUUUUAUUAUUACGUAUAUAGAGAUCCCCUGCGUGACGUAGGCCUCAUAUGCGAAUAUAUAUGCAUGAUAUGUUUUGACUAUUUAUUCAGUUCUUAUGAAAUGCUUAUAUGUUUAAUGCCCUUUAUGAAAAUGAAAAUGUUAUGAAAAUGAAAUAUUUAUGAAAUGAUUGACUGCCAAAAUGUUUAUGUUUUUAUAUGUAUCCUAUCUGUGUUGGUUCGCCAACUUUAAAGGAAAUCCAAUUGGGAUCCUAUGCUAGACAAAGGUCGCUAGCUAGGGUUAACGUGUACACUCAUGGAGACCGCGAGUCGCUUGCGACCGGUCUUGGCGUCCGUGGUAAGGAGGCCUCCUUCCCGGCGCGUGAUAGAAAGGGCAGAUAUGGAUCAUAUAGACUGAAAAUGGGAUGCAUCCACCUUUAUGAAAAUGAACGAAAUGUUUUAGUAAGCGCAGGUCAUUUAUGAAAACCCCUGUGUGUUACUGUUAUGGCAGUUCAAUUUAUAUAUGUAUGCAUGUUGUAUUUUCGGCUUAUGUCACUGAGUAUUUUUAUACUCAGCCCUGCAUGUAUUUCUAAAUGUGCAGGUUGAGCAGGCGAUGGAAUGGAUCGGUGUUGAGCGGAUUUCCCUUUUGAUGUUUAUGUAAUGAAACCUUGAGUAUGCAUCUCCAUAUGCAUAACUCACACGUUUUUCUGCUGCAAACACUCUGAAUUUGUUAUCGUAUUGUGGAACUUAUUACUCCUUCAUUUUGUUUAACUUUCAUUUGGGGUUUAGUCAUUAUGGCUGGCUCAUUUGUUAAUUACCCAAGUGGUUAUAUAUAUAUAUAUAUACCACUAGUUUGUUGUUAUUAAUGUUGGUUAUUUAGUAAAUCCCUUUUAAAUUUCCAUUUCUUAUCGUUCACCCAAGUCAUAACCCCGGUUAACCCGUCAUUGGGAUAGUGGGCUGUGACAAAAACACACAUCAUAGGGCAGCAUACAGAGAUCAUACGCAACUAAUGCAUCACCAGCCAUCCCCCACCACAUAGAGAAUGAACAUACACAAAGGAAGGCAUCACAGAACGAAAUCACCUGUUUCGCUUAACCUCACUUUCGCGUUUGAAAGAUUCUUUGAGGUCGGAGGUUCUCUUGGCUUCCUCCCUUUCGCGACUGAAUGAUUCUCUGAGGUCGGAGAUGCGCUUCGCCUUUUCAAUCUCCGACGGAAUCGGCUCCGAUUCAGAGAGAGGGAGACGCCCAGCUUCGAUGUCCGGAAGCAACUACGGCCCCGCUUCGGACUCCGGCAAAAUCGGCUCCGACUCAGAGAGAGGGAGGAGCGCAGCUUCGGUGUCCGACAGCAACCACGGUGCGACUUCAGUUUCCGGUGGAAUUGGCUCCGAUUCAGAGAGAGGGAGGCCCGCAACUUCGGUGUUCGGCAGCAACCACGACGCCGCUUCGAAUUCCGGUGGAAUAGGCUCAGAUUCAGAGAGAGGGAGGCGCACAGCUUCGGUGUCCGGCAGCAACCACGGCGCCGCUUCAGACUCCGACGGAAUCGGCUCCGAUUCAAAGAGAGGGGGGCGCGCAGCUUCGAUUUCCGGCACGACAGUGUCCGAUUCACACACAUCCAUCUCUGAGAAACGGAGUUUCUUCGACCAUCGUCUCAGAUUCCAUCGAGGAAGACGAAGAACACAAUUCAGAGAGAUCUAAUGUUUUGAAUAGGGAGAGAGAGAGAGAGAGAGAGAGAGAGAGAGAGCCUUAGAUCUAGGUUAGAUAUGAAUAAUCUAGAACCAAGUAGGGAGAGUAAUAAAAAAUGAGUAGGCGUAAUUAAUUUAAAUAUAAGGAAGGAUGAACUAAAUAUGGCAAAGGGUAGUAAUUAAAUGAAACAAGGGAUGAUAAAAGAGUACAAAAAACAGAAUAGAGCAUUAAAUUGUGGACAAUUUUUUAAAAGUAAGUAGGGUAUUAAAUUAUGGACGGAGGGAAUAGUAAUUACUCCCUCUGUCCACCAAUUCAAUGCCUACUUGCUUUUUUGGUCCGUCCACAAAAACAAGGCCUACCUAUUUUUGGUAAGUUUUUAUUCAUUAUUUAAUCAAAAAAGUCAAAGAUUCUUUACAAAAAAGUGGGACCCUUUCUCCACUCAACUAAUAAAAAUACAUUUAUUUUUUAAAAUCCGUGUUUUUUCAUAUAGGCCUUUAAUUGGUGGACGAAGGGAGUACUAGAAAGUGGCAUUAGACCGAAGUAGGACACAUCACACACCGUCCAAAACCUAUUUUCCUUUCCCCCCACUUGGUCCCACUCCCAGACUAGACUCCAAUUUCCACAUCAUUUCGCGUGCAUUUCAAAGUAAUCUCAUUUGCAUUCGCAUCUGCAUUUGAAUUUCAUCUUCAUUUGAAUUUCAAAACCACUCCCAACCCCCACUCUUUCUCUGUCUAGGAGACAGAGACAGAGACACACACCUAAAACAUUUUCUCUCUCUACACCGCGCAGAACAAAACAAAGCUUUCCCUUCAUUUCGCUUUCUCUCGAUUUUUCUUCUCUCCACCCCAACUCAUACAUAUAUAUACACUCACCCUGUAUCUGUGUGUAUCCUUUCAUAAAACCUCGUCUUUUUCCUUCGUUUUUGUUUAUCUAGUUGAUCUCUGCGAUGAAGAUCGCCUUUUCUGCUUCAGACUUGUUUCUGUUCGUUGUUUCUUUUCGGUCGUUGGAUUGAUUAAUGAGCGGCUGACAUGAUCUAUUUGCAGAUCUCCGGUGAAAGCUCCGGUUUUUCGCGAUCGUAGGUGAGUUGAUUCCUUUUUGGCUUCUUUCUUAAUAUGUUUGGCUACUGACUGAGUAGUCGUUGACUUCAUUCUCUGAACUUAUCUGCGAUUCUGUGAAUUGAGAUUUUGUUAGUUCGAUUAGGAGUUAUGUUUGUUCUCCAAGUGAAAUCAUUUUAUUCAUGAGUUUUUGGACUUGAUUCGCAAUGGCUUGGUUUUUGAAUCAAAUCGUUGUAUUUUAGGUGAUUAUGCACAUCCUGCUAUGUUGAUUUGUAGUCAUUUUCUGCGAUCUUUCUGUGUGGAUAGAUUCAAACGCUUCUGGUUUAUGUGGAUGGUAAUUAUUGAUGCACGUGAAUGUAUCUGGUGAAUAUAUAUGUUUUUCGGAAUAAAGAUUCGUUUUUCGCGGGCUAUAGAUACAUAUAGGAAUUAUUCAUUUUUUUGAAUAUAAUGCAAAAGUAGAUUCUUUUCUCGACUACUACUUUAUUAUUUACUCCGGGGAAUAUUAUUUAGGUGGCUUAGCUUAAUAUGCACUUCUUGCUUUAUUGAUUGCUCUUCUUGAUGAUCUUAUUUUCCAUUUCUCGUUAAUGAUAUAUGAAUGGAACUCUCUGUAUCUUCCAUCUAGUCAUAGUAUAAAUUUGGUUUGCUUCUUUGUCUUUGUCUAAUUUAAGUAUUACAGACUUAUAACUGGACGAAUAGAGAUAUGAAAUUGGUUGCCCUUCCCCUUCAAUUUACAUAAGAUAAUUUUACCGUAGGUUACUUUGCUUCGAUAGUGUAUUUUGUUUUCAUCUUUGUAGUAUGAGUACAAGCAUGCUUUUGAAUGAUUUUUGUUCAACUUCAAAUGCUAGCUGAUUAUGUUGUUUUUGUUCUAUCCUUGUUUUACUUUUUCUGUCUUUUGUUAGGUCUUUGGUAUACUUUAUAAACAGUUUAUGUUAAACUUCUACAUAUGGUUAUUGAUAUUGGUUGACUUGCAGUUGAUCGAAGUAUGUGCAGUGGGCCUGAGCAAUCAAAUCCAAAUUCUUGUACGACCCAAGGGGCAGCUAUUAACCAAUCAAACAAGAAGGAUUUGAACAACUUAUCUGUAGAAACUGAUGAUUCCCUCUCCAGUUUGCUUGAAUUUGCCGCCAACAAUGAUAUUGAGUCUUUCAAGAGAUUGAUAGAGGUUGAUUUGUCUGUGGUUGAUGAGGCCGGACUUUGGUAUGUUCGUAAGAAAGGUUCAAAGCAGAUCAGCCCGGAAGAAAGAACUCCGUUGAUGGUAGCCGCUACUUAUGGUAGCGUCGAUGUAUUGAAGCUAAUAGUUGCGUUGCCUGAAGUUGAUUUAAAUAAAUCAUGUGGUGGCAAUAAGUGGACUGCGCUCCAUUGUGCGGCUUUUGGAGGUUCUAUCCAUGCAUUUGAUGUUGUGAAGUUGCUGUUAUCUGCUGGUGCUGAUCCCAAUAUUGAGGAUUCCCGUGGCUUGCGUCCAGGUGAUGUGAUUGUAGUUCCUCCAAAACUUCCUGGAGCUAAAGCUGCUCUUGAGGACUUGCUCAUGAACAACAUUUAUGAUGGGUCUAUUGGUGAGUGCAAUUUACGGGUCAACAUAUCUGGCUCAAAUGCAUCUUCCCCUGUACUGUCUUCAUCGCCAGAAAGCAGGUCUACGUGUUCGCUGUUAGAUUCUGUAUCUUCUCCCUCAGCUCCUAAGUUUGUCGAUCCUGCGGCUAAUUCUGUGUCAGAGAAGAAACAAUAUCUUGUGGAUCCAUCUCUACCAGAUAUUAGAAAUAGUAUCUACUCAACUGAUGAAUUCCGCAUGUUCUCAUUCAAGGUCAGGCCUUGUUCAAGGGCAUAUUCUCAUGAUUGGACUGAAUGCCCUUUUGUUCACCCUGGAGAAAAUGCCCGCAGAAGAGACCCGCGGAAGUACCACUACAGCUGUGUCCCUUGCCCUGAUUUUCGAAAGGGUGCAUGUAGGCGUGGGGAUAUGUGUGAGUAUGCUCAUGGCGUAUUUGAAUGCUGGUUGCACCCUGCUCAGUAUCGGACAAGGCUGUGCAAAGAUGGCACAAGCUGUGCGAGACAGGUGUGCUUUUUUGCGCACACCCAGGAAGAGCUUCGUCCUCUGUAUGUCUCUACUGGAUCCGGCGUGCCUUCUCCAAGAUCUGUGGCCUCUACAGCAAGCUUCAUGGACUUGGCUGCUGCCUUAAGCCUUUUGCCUGGUUCCCCAACAUCACAGUCUGUGAUGUCUCCUUCUGCAUUCAAUCAGACCUUGUCCCCUACAGCAAAUGGAAUGUCUCAUUCAUCUUCUGGAGCUUGGACUCAACCAAAUGUCCCCACUCUCAGUCUACCUGGUAGCAAUCUGCAGUCUAGUCGCCUGAGAUCUUCCCUCAGUGCUCGCGAUAUUCCACCUGAGGAUCUUAACAUGUUGCAGAAUUAUGAUUCCCAGCAACUGAUUUUAAAUGACAUGGCUUGUUUUUCACAGCCACGCCCUAAUUCUGCUAUGUUGGGUUCUGGCCGCUCCCAGGCAACGUUGACUCCUUCCAAUCUUGAAGAGCUUUUUUCUGCUGAGAUCGCAUCAUCUCCAAGACUUUCUGAUCAGGCAGCGGCUUAUGGUGUUUUUUCUCCUUCACAUAAAUCAGCUGUUCUUAAUCAGUUCCAACCGCAGCAAAACAUUUUAUCACCCAUAAAUACUAAUGUUUUUUCUCCAAGAAAUGUUGAACAUCCUUUGUUGCAGGCUUCUUUUGGUGUGUCAUCUCCAAGGAUGUCACCAAGAAGCUUGGAGCCAGCAUCCCCCAUGAGUGCCCGUCUCUCAGAUUUUGCUCAGCGUGAGAGGCAGCAGCAGCAGCAGAUGCGCAGCAUCAGCUCCCGGGAACUUGGGUCCAACUGUGCCUCUGUUGUGGGAUCUCCAGCAAGUGCAUGGUCUAAGUGGCGACCUGCGAACGGGAAAGUUGAUUGGUCAGUUGGCGCAGACCAUGAAGGUGGUUUGAAGAGAUCAUCCUCAUUUGAUCGCAGAGUAGCUGAUGGAGAAGAACCCGACUUGUCGUGGGUGCAAUCUCUUGUCAAAGAAUCACCACCUGAGAUGAUGGAGAAGCCCGCAGCCCCGAGUUCUGGCGCUGCACCAUCCGGUGAGUGUUUGAAACCACACCCUCAAACUGACUCCGUCGAUAACACUGUUUUAGGGGCUUGGCUCGAUCAGAUGCGACUUGAUCAGCUCAUAGUCUAGCGAAACAGAUCAUGAAUUCAUUCUCACUUAGACAAGCAAAAGUGUAGGAAGUAUAUAAAAAAUUUUGUGCUCUUUUUUGGCUCGCGGAAGAAAAGGUGCAAGUCGAAGGUAGCAGCAGCAAUGAUGGACUUCGGGAGUUCUUAUUGGUAAACUGAAAUUUAAUUUUUUCUUCUUCAAAAAAGUUGUAUUAAAAAACCUUACCUCAUUUAUUGAUUAUUACAACCUGAGUUUUCAUUUGUUAUAUCGGGCUGUACUAAAGUAAACCCAGCCCAGUUUGGGCAACUGUUCUUUUGUAUUCUGUUAAAUCCGAAUAUUAUAUUUCCCAUGUAUCAUGUUUCCAUGAUUCUUUAAGCAAAUGUGAUCAAUUCAUGAAUGUUAGUAUUAUCUUGUUAGUGAGUGAUUAUGAUAUUUCAUUGUUUUGCUUGCGACAAGAAGUAGGAAUGGAUUGGAUGCCACAUAUGUUGAUGGUGAUUGGUUUAGGUUAGAAGUGGAGAGGGACGUAAUGUGCACUAAUUUUCUUGUGUUGGAAAAAUGGGGGAGUGGACUGGUGUGGGUGGUGGGGAUCAGUUGUUGGUGAUUGCAUCAUCUUUGAUGCUGAUUUGUGGGGCUCCUUAAUUAAUUAUUACUGCCUUCUUUAUUCUCUCAUGGGGACAAACUCCAGUUUAUUCGGAUAAAACACGGAAGUCUUUGUCGUAUUGUGUCAAUUUUCUUUCCUAUUAUUAAAUUAUAGUAGUUAUUUAAUGUUCUUUUAUGAGACCAUUUAUGUUGAUUUUUGUCGAGUUGUGCAACAAAAACAUUUAUGAUCAUAUGUUCAAGAGCAACCAAGUCAACAUUUUUUUUUUCUUUUAUGAAUUUGAUUUUUACGAGAAGACAAAUUGGACGAGAGGACACAGAGAUAAGAGGGAGGUUUCUUGUACGAAGAUAAUUAAUAUUGCCUUAACAAACAAUGAGAAACACAAAAAUAAAGCAAAACGGGUGAAGGAACAGAUGACAGUUUUUUUUUCUUUUUCUUUUUUUGUUUUAUUACAUUUUAAGGAUAAUAUUUUCUAUGAGGACGAUCUCCCCUUGAGAAAGCGCCAAGGUCCUGUUCCUGUUCCCAUCCUGCAUUCAAAUACAAAAAUUGGGGUAUUAGUUAGAAAAAAAGAGAAAAAAGUUAUGGUGAAAAAACACAGAUUUUUUCACCUCCAAAACCCAGCAAAUGUUCUUAGUCCCAUGUAGAUGGUUAAAGCGAACCAGAUACCGAUGAAACCGUUAGUUUUUGACAGAAGAAACAAUGAUCCAAUGCUUACUAUGGAUACAAGCACCUGAAAAAUUGUGAAUAUAUAUGUCAAAUAAAAGUUGGUAAUGAAUAAAUGUUGAUCUUAGAUGGUAAAUUAAUGGAGUUAACCAUGGAGUAUGCAGAGUAUGCGAAGUCAGACGCUCCAAAAUUGACACCAUCGAAAACGAAUGCCAGAGUGUUUAUAGGCUGCGUUGCUGCUACAAACUGAAUCAUCAUACAACGCCAGUCAAGAUCGAACCUAAGUUAGCAUUUAACAUUUAGAUUAUAGGAAGCUUGAGUGAGUGAGUUACCGGGAUGCCUAUGGCGAUCAUAUGAAUAACAUUCUUGUCCUUGGAAAAUAUUCCUGAUCCAAACUGCAGCCCGACUCCAACGAAGACAGCAAGCCCGAGCCCAAGCACGAAUCCCAUCUGCAAAAAACGCAGUUUAUUGGAUCACGAAUGUGCUGUUACUUUGCUUUAGAUUAAUUGGUGGUAGUUAAAAAUCACCUGCAGCACUCGAGUUGCAGCAGCUGUUGCUUUCUGAUAGUCUUUCUCAGCAAAUGCACAAGCAAGGAUUGCCUAAAAAUCAUUAGUGGUUUGCAUUGAUUAUACUACUAACAAAAAAAAAUAUAAAAAUUUGAUGAGCAUAAUAAGUAAGUAAGUAACAUGUCCAGCAACUGCCAAGCCAUCAGCAAGGAGUGAAGAAGUGAGCCAGACCUGCAGGCAUAUAUGGAAUGCAGCCAUGGGAGUCGGGCCGAACCUUGCAGCCAACGAAGCAGCCAACGUCACACAGAUAGUCACAGCUAUCACUCUUGCUAGUAAGAGGAAACCUGCAGGCGAGGGAGUGUCAAAAGGCGCGUUCUAGAAUAAGGAGUAUCGACUAAUUAAUUAACUUGCCAUUCUUGAGGAAUCUCUUCAGCUGCAGAUCUUUGAUGCUUGGAGGCAACAUCACAAUCUGUGUUGCUAACUUGCUAAACAGAAUCAGAGUGAUCAAGUACCUAAAAAUAAAAAUAAAAAUUAAACAUUUCAUGUUAAUAAUUAGUAUAUAUGGUAGGUAGUGAGUGGAAACUGACUGUGAAAGGACAUGAGCAAUGGCAGCACCGGCGACGCCCCAACGACACACAAAUAUGAAAAUGGGGUCCAAAAUUAUGUUGGUUAGGUCACCUACAACUGUUGACAGAAAACAAGACAUAUAUGAAUGAUAUAUACAUACACAUUAAAAAUAAAAAUGAAAUGUUAAUAUUAAUGUUACCAAUAGCAUAGAGAGGAGUUUUAGUAUCUUUGAAACCGCGAAAGAUGCCUUGCAUGGCUAGAGAGAGAAGGACUGCAGGAGCACCAAGUGACCUUAUGGUGAGGUACCUCUCUGCAGGUUCCAGCAUUGGAGAUCCCUAUAUAUAUAUAUAUGAUCCACAAUUUCAUCAUCAUUUCAUUUGAUUAUUACAAUAAGUUAUGUAAUGAAAAGGGAUAUAUGUUGGUAGUAAUUACCGUUUUGACACCCAUCAAGUUCAAGAGAGGUUUAGCAAGGAAUACAAGGAAAAUGGUCUGGAUGAGGCCCAACACUACUCCAAGGACCAGAGCAGUCGAUGCUGAAGGGAUGUUACGCCGCUCACUUUCCCACUUCCACUUGCUUCCUUUACCUUCUGCUCAACAAAACAAAACAAUCAAUAUUCAACUACUGCAACGGAGGGAUAAUAUUAUCCCUCAUUUGUAGUGAAAAUGAGGAAUAAGUAAGAGUCAAAUUCUAUUUUGUAGGAAAUGAGGGAAAGAAAAUGAUGAUUUAAAGGGUGAAAUUUUAUUUAUCCCUCAUUUUCCCAUGAUAAAUUUACAAUCAAAGAUAACGCAUCCUAAGUAGUUAUAUUUUGUGCAACUGGCCUCCUAUCCUUCAUAAAUAAAGGUAAGAUCGACCAAAUGACUAACGGGUCUUCCAACUCCCUCAACAAAAUUUAGAUUUUGUGUGUGUGGUGUGGGGGCAUAACUAAAUGAAAAACAUUUACUAUAGAAAAUAAGAAAAGAAAAAGUAAUAAUUUUGUUGAUGGAGUUGGAAGGCCCGUUAGUUAUUUGAGAGAUCUUUGCUGAUAUUUAUCAACGAUAAGAAAUAAGUUGUACAAAAUAUAACGAUAGAAAAUUAGUUAUACAAAUUAAACACAAUGGUAUAAAGCAAUAGUUGUACAAUAAUGACAUGGAGCUAAUUGUUUUAAGCUGUAAAUGUUAGGAUGUUUUGUUACAAAUCUAUUUUUAAAUAUAACCUACGUAAAAAUUAAUUGUGAACACAUGAUAAGUUUCAUAAAACAUGAUAAAUUAAAAAAAAAAAAAUGCCCAGGAACACGAAUUUAUUCGAUAAAAUGAUGAAUUCAGUAUAGAUAUUCACCAUUUAAAGGCUGAAAAUGAAAACUAGUUUAAAUUUUAAAACGAAUUUCUAUUUUAUCCGAUCCACACGUAUAUAUAGGGUAGGGUUAGGCUACACAUUAAACUCAUAUCAAAAUAAAAACUACUCCUACAAACUAUGAAAACAUAUAUAGUGAAUAAUAUAUAUACCAUGAGGGUUGAUGUUGUUGGAUUUUUCAUCAACGAUGGCAAUGUUGGUGCUGUGCUGCUGUUGUUGUGUUAUUGUUGUCAUUGUUGUCAGAUGGCGGCUUCUCCAAGUCAUGAGCAUCGGAGAUUCUGUUGACAGUAUCUUCCUGAGCAACAAAUGAGGUGGUGAUGCUAACAAGUGGGAAUAUGGUGACUUUGGAGGCUUGGUUGAAGAUAGCAAUGGAAACUCCUACAGCUCCGAUUUCCACCGCCCCUAAGUGCCCGAUAAACGCCGUAUCGAUCAAAGAUGCGAUGGGAUCGGCGGCCAACGCCAGCGCCGCCGGGAACGCGAUGCGCAGUAUCUCCCGCCCUAGCUCAUCCCUCUUCAAAACAUUCCUACAUUUCAAACCAAAUUGAAUUAAAACACAAUUUAUAUAGUAUGCUAAAUUAAUUAAAGUUUGAUGAGAAAACAAAUUAAGAAACCUAGCAUCUUGGAAGAAGACAAACACCGGGAACUUCCACUUUCCGGCAGCUGACACCUCAGCAUUAUUCUCAUCACCCAUUGAGCUUCCAACUGCAAUUAAUUCAUAUGAAUUAUUCCUAGCAUGAGCAUAUAUAGACAUCGAUCACCACCUUAAUUUGUGUGAUAAUUGGAGGUAGCUAGCAAUGACAAGGUAAUUUCUCCAUGAAUUAUUUAAUUGUUAAGGAAAGGAGAUGCAAGAGCCUUCCUAGGCUCUCACUCCCCUGGAUAAUGAAAUCAGGCCACAUAUAUACAACUAAUUAAUUAUAUAGUAUCAUAGUACUAUAAUUAUUUAUUCUCCCCAAAAAAUGGUUAACAAAUGUGGUGAAGAAAAAUGACGUUGCAUGAAUCAAGACUACGGUGUGGAACUAUCUUGAAAAACGUUUCAUCAAAAUUAAUCAAAUGCAUGCGUCUUAAUCAAACGAACUUUAUUCAAACAGGUAUUAUCUGGGGCUUUCUAACUAAUAUAGUCAAGUAUCAUAUUUUAGUUCUGUACAGACAUAGUUUUUUUUUUUUUUAAAUAAUACUACUAAUUAAUGUGUUUGCUAUUAUGAAGGAUCCGAGUCGUGCAUGCAUCAACUAUACCUAAUAUUAAAUUAAUAUAGUAUGAAGCAAAUAUUUAUAAAUUUAGCAAAUAUUUGUAAAAAGUAGUUAAAAUUAGGAAGCAUGACAUGAAUAUAUGUUUAGAAUCGAGCUAAUUGUUAAAACAUGACCGUAACUUUUAGUGUUUUUGAAAAAGAGGACCAUGUGUUACGGAAUUUAAAAAUGGGGCCUAUAUAUUACGAAAUUUGAAAAUAAAAACUAUAGCUUCAAUUAUUUACAUUUACAUCCUAUUUAACACAUCAAAAUGAGGACUAUAACUUACAUCAUGGCCCAAAAUAGGAGUGUAAUUAAAUAUAAAAAAUAAAAGCUAUAGUCCCUAUUUUCAAAUUUCAUAACAUAUAGUCAUUUUUUUCAAAAACACUAAAACUUAGGGUCCUAUUUUAAGAAUGAGGUCUUUAUUAAAACAUUGAGAAUGAAAGAAGUAGUGAUGCACGUUGGAUUUACAUUAUAUCUUGAGAAGGACAGGUGGACAGCAACACAGGCCAAUGAAAUCAAUUCUUUCUAACUACAUCACAUAAAGCCUAAAGUAACGUCUAAAAUUCACUCAAUUAUACAUGCAGAUGAUAAAUAAUGAAUGAAGAUAUACCUAGUCAUUUCUUUUAUUGAUUUUAGCAUCACCGACUCAUAUAUUAAUACUUUUGAGUAGUGAUAUAUAUACACACACAUGUACGUGCGCGAUUUGUCGAAAGUAAAGUAAAUUAAAGCUAUUUUAUUAAUUGAUGAUCCAAUCAUAUAUCCAUUAUAUUACCCCUUUUAUGAAAUGGACUGCUCUAGAAAAAUUUCUCGUACGUGUUUGUGUGUGUGCAUGAGAGAGAGAGAGAGAGAGAGAGAGAGAGAGAGAGAGAGAGAGNAUGGCUGGAAGUUCAGAACUCGGCGACGGUGGUGGUGUGCGAGAGAGAGAGAGAGAGAGAGAGAGAGAGAGUAUGGGCUGCCGUGACAGAUUACUCAUCCUCCAUUAGGAGCGACGAUAAGCAAUGGACGAAAUUAUCGCCAUGACAUGUAUCUAUAAUUUAUUUAGAUUAUAGCUGUAUUUAAAUGAGUGGAGUAUAUAUUUUUGUUUCAAGAUUAACAAAAAAAGUUAAUUUAUACAUAAGAGUAAAACUGAUAACAUAUAAUGUACUCACACUUGAAUUUGAUGAGACCAGCAAAUUAGCUGUAUCAAUGCUGCAGAUCACCUAGCAAAAGAGAGGAAAUAACAGGCAAAAAAUUAAUACCAGAGACCUAGAAAUAAGAUGCAAACUAAAAUAUACAGACUGGUUUAAUUGCAUUUGUUUGUUACAUUUUCAAAUAUGAUAAGAAAGUAGCAACAAAAUUUGUCAAGUGAAAUAAACAAUAUUUCUAUAAAUGUGGAUUAUUGUUGAAUGUAACAGAAUGAAAUGAGAAAGAAGAUUGAUGAACGUGAAAGAGGCUGGGAUACAGUUUCUGGAAAGUAAAUAAAUACUGAUGUAGCAUGCACAUCUCACCUCUCUCUCUCUCUCAACUUAAGAAGUGUAAAUGCUUUUGGUGUCGAGUUUGGUUUGAACACUAAAACCCCAUCACUCCGCCCUUUAUAUACACCUUUUUUCACUUCACUACUUUUCUCCUUAAUUCUAUUUUUAAUCAAUUCAAUAUUAUACACAUCACUAAUAAUGCGUCACUCUGUGAUUGUGUGUGAGAGAGAACGUGAAUCCAAUGUGUGUCUCAGAGAGAUCUAAUAUGGACUUAUUUUUAAAGGGAAGAGUGGUGAUUACUAAGAGCAACUACGUACAAUCAUGUCCACCACAUCCUUACAAUUUCUAACACUCCUUUUUUUGUAUUUUUAUUAUGUUGUAAUUUCAUCUUAUGUUUUUUUUUUUUAUUAUUAUUUCCCAAAGGGACACCAAGCGGUGCGACCUCCUGUGUGUGAACAGUGAGGUCUCGGGUUCAAACCCCACUGCUCCUCCUCCCCAACUCCCCCUAGUCAAAAAAAAAAAANUUAUGUUGUAAUUUCGUCUUAUGUUUUUUUUUUAAUUUAUUAUUAUUAUUAUUAGUCCGUAUUAGUUUUGUUGAAUGUGUAGUAUCUAUGUUCUUGAAAUGACUUUGAUCAAUUUGUAAUUAAGGGAUUUAUAUAUAGCUUUUGUAAGAUUGUAUAUUUAAAAAUAAUUUAAAUUAUUAUUGUUGAGUUGUAUAUGAUAUUUAAUAAUAACUGCCACAACCACCAUCGAUCGUGCGCCUUCACUCUCAAAUCACCCCAAAGACCCGAACCCCUUCCCUCCGCUCCCCGUCGAAAAUUCGACCAACCAAUAGGCUGCCACCUUCGUCGCCUCUUUCGUUUUCAGGCUACUUCCUUUACGCCACAUGCUAUCCCUCUGAAAUCUCUACAUCUACUUUAAUUUCCUAUUUGCCGCCACCUUCCUCCCUCUGCCCUCAACCCAACAACAUUGCAAUUAACAUGUUCAUUUUCACACAAAAAAGAAAAAAAAAAAUGAAAGAUUAUGCAUCAUAAGGAAACACAAUAAAUCAAGUGUAAUUUUCGAAUCCUUGAAAUAAAUUUAUGGCAAUUAACCCGGAAUACAAUAUUCUUUUGAAGUUAAACGUAUAAUUUGAUGAUCAUUGAAAAUAUUUAUACAUUUACCAUAUCACAGAGGUCGCACUUGCUAAUUAAUGUUCCCAAUUGGACGAAUUUUUAGCUAGUUAAUUGUUAUGAUUAUCCGUUCAAAAAAACUAAAAAAUUGUUAUGAUUAUUGAUGCGCGCGAGAGAGGAAAUAUAUUUAUUUCGUAGUUUAGGCAUGCAUUAUGUUACGUAGUGAUUCACGAGAGUGAGAGGUUUUAAUUAAUAAAAAAAAAUACCUCCUCUUAAUUAAUUUGCAAUUUUGCUCUUAGGUGUUUUAUGAUGAGUCGAUGACACAAGUUUGCACAUUGCUCUUUGAAAUUUAACACUCAUAAGUUUCCAUAAUAUAACAACUCAUUUUCACAAAAAAAAAAAAUAUCAUAUAAAAACUCUUUUCGUUUAGAGGUGUAAUAUAUAAAAAACAAUAAUUAUGAGCAAAAAUGAGUUAGUCAUAUAUGCAUGACACUAAUUUAUUACAAUGGAAUAAUUAUUGAUUCUUAAUUAUACCUCAGAUUUUCUUCUAAAGAAAUUUUAGAAGAGCUAGAGAUAAUAUAAUCUUAGCUGAUUUUCUUGAAGAGAAUUUUUGGAAGAGCUUGAGAUAAUAUUCUUAGCUCGAAAACCGUACCAAAGUGAUAAGAAACCAUUUUAUAUAUCUAAAAUUGUUAUCAUCCUCUAGUUUAACAAAACGAAUUCUUUCAGUAGGUUAGAUGAAAAAUUAAUUAUAGUAUUAUGAAAGAAUAAAUGGAACGAGUGUUGCACUCGGCACAUCAUAUAGUACAAAGGGGCAUAGUUGUCAUUAUAGGGUGGAAUUCCACCACUUAUACAUCGGAGAAAAGACAAAAAUAAUGAGUUUAAUUAUAUUGUCCACUUUCUGCAAAUAUGGAGCACGUAUGAUUCCACCACUUUCCUUCGGCUAAACUUACCUAAUUUUUGUUGGUAAGUUGACUCGCAAUGCAAUUUCCUUAUUACGCACGUGUAUAUGUAUAUAAUAAAAAUCUCAUUUUUUUCAGAAUUUAAACUCAAGUAAAAAUAUAUUUUCAUAUAAAAUAUUAAUUUAUUCAAUUUAUUCGACUUAUUCGCACACAUUCUCCAUUAUCUAAAUAUAUAGCAUUCUUCUUAUUUUCUCUUUCUCUCUCUCUCUCUAAAUCAAUUAUCUAUAUAUCUAUAUAUAUAUAUAUAGGAAGAUUGUUCUAAAUAAAAAUAUCUGUUAAAAUGAGAACUAGGAACCUAAUCUUAGCCAUUUAUUUUUAUUAAUGUGCGGUUAGGAUUUGAUUUCUUUAUUUAUGAUUUUAGUUUAAUUAAAAAUCGUAGUGGGGUUAAUAAUGUAAUUGAUUAUGAUUCCACAUAUAUAGGUAACCGAAAUUUAAGAGAUUUGCUUUCAUUUCCUUUUUCAUUUACAUAGAUAAAUCACUUUGUUUUUAUUUGAUUUUUCUACAGUUUUAGGUUUUCUUUAAUUCUCUACAAUCUACAAUCAUAUUAUUAUUAAUUACUUUUGUGAAUGUUGAAAUCAUAUCUUACGAAUUAAAUAAUAAUGAUAUUCUUCAUUUUUUGUAUCUCCAUUUUUGUUAUCAUCAUGGUUUCAUUUUUAGUUUCUUCAAAAAAAUCGAUAGUUCAAUUUUUUAGAGAAAAAUUUGAAUUGCAUAAUGACUAUUUACGGUUGCACACAUAUAUUUAACAUGAUGUUUUGUUAUUCUUUGUAGCAUAACAUAAUAACACGAGCUGCAUAGAAUAAAUUAAUUAGGUUUUUUGUUUAUUUCUUUGUAUAAGGAUAGUAAUGUAAGAUUUGACUGCUGCAUUUAGAGAAAAUUGAAUUGCAUAAUGACAUUUAGAGUUGCAUACAUUCACUUACUUUGAUGUUUCCUUCUUUCUUUGUAGCAUAUACAUAGUAAUACGAUGUUUGGUUGUUGCUUUUUGCUAAGAUCAAUUGCACAGCACUUACUGAAAUGCUUAUCAAAUGAGAUUAUUGAGAGUUGCACAAUAAAUGACUAUGAGUUGAACACGAUCAUUAAUAAAUAAUUUAACAUAUAUAACAAUCAAAUUUAGUUUGCACAAUAAGUAAAAUAUAUCUUUAAUGACCUAUCUUAACUGAAUGAUGUGAAGAACAUAUAGAUGACAUAAAAUUUACGUUCAGUUUCCUCUCCAAAAAAUUGAACAUAUUCUUAUCCAAAAAACUAAGUUGCACAGCAGUCGAUCUCCUUCUCAAUUGAUGUUUGAACACUGAUCUACUCUGGAAAGCUUCACAAGAAUAAAUCAAUCACUAGUAACCCAUGCAAGAAUUCUGUCUAUCGCCAAAUACUUCAACAUCGUGACUUCAGUUCUUGUAGACCGACGCACGAACAAACAUAUCUCUGCACCAAUCAUGAUUUUCAUCGCCUAUUUGGUUGGAACUAAACACAUGAAAGUCUAGAAUAUCAUGUAUUUAUACGUGAAUAUGCAUUAUGAAUGUUAUUAUUAUGCAAGUGGAUGAUUUGAGUGCAACUCGUACUACAUAAUGACGCAACAAAACAAUUACAACAGCAAACAAAACCAAAUGUACUUUUCCAAUACGAAUAGGUCAUUAUGCAAACUUCAAAAUUCUACAUAAACAAUCAUCACAUUUAUUACAAGUAAUAUUUUUAUCAUGAUAUAAUAUAUUUAUUCUAAUAACUUUAAUGCAUGAGUAACCACAUACUAUAGAUGUUAGAACUAUGCAUAAUAAUUUAUGUUGUGUGCAACAAAUAACUUAUUUUCUAUGUAACAACUCACAAUACAAUCUUUCAUGCAACUAGUCACCUCAAUAAAUGCCAAGAAUAUUUCUUUCACAUUUAGGAAACAAAAUAUCAUUUUCCACGUAUAUUACCAUAUGUGCAACUAAGAAAUUUCUACGCAAACGAAAACACUAACACAUAAUUCCCGCAACAACAAACUUAUAUUCAAAUUCUCUAUAAAAUUAACAUAUUUUCCACGUAUCUAAAUUGUGCAAACACUACCAGAUCUCUGUGCAUAUUCAAAAUCAUAUUUAAAUUCAAAUAACAAGUAUAACAUUUUCCACACAAAACACAAUAACCAAGCAACACAAUACUCUCCUGUAUGCAACAACAAAGAAUUUUAUUCCACACAAAACACAAUAAUCGAGCAACACAAUAUUAUCAUCUAUGCAACAACAUCACAAUCUGUGCAACUGAUGCACAAUAACAAUAAAAACAAAACCAUUUGUGCAACUAAUAACAUCAUACAAAUGCAACUAGCUUCAACUGUGCAACAAAUAACUAAUUUCUAUAUAACAACUCACAAUACAAUAUUUCCUGCAACUAGUGACCUCUAGAUCUAGUGAAUAGCAUGCUUAAGGUGUGCUAAAAGUUUAUGCUAAAAAUUCGCAUAUGUGCAUCUACGCAAUGAAGCCAACUAUGCAACAACGCAAUCAAAUUAAUUGUGCAACAUACUUAAGCAAAUAUGCAAUGAAUCAACUAUGUAACUAUGCAUAUUCCAGCCAACUAUGCAAUACAAUCAAGCUUCUAUGCAACUAAAAUUUUAAUCAAAAUCCCAUCAAUAUCAAACAACAAUUUAUGCAACACAUACAAAUUCAGAAACACUGUCACAAAUUUAAUUAACACGUACAUAUUUUGAGAACAAUCCGUGCAUCACAAUAAAUCAACUAUGCAAGUACAAUUAACUUAAUUUUCCCAGCAACAUCAAACAACAAUAUAUGCAAUAAAAACAAAUUUAGAGGAAUUGUGAAUAACUAUGCAAUAAACUAAAGCAACUAUGCAAUUACAUACACAAUUGUGCAUCACAUUCCAACAACUAUGCAAUUGAAAUUUUUAAGAGUAAAUACCGUCGCCGCCGUUCGUGAAUCGCCACCGCCUUGUUUCUAUCGCUCCACCUUGUUUCUAUCGCUGGAGUAAACUCUUAAUAGCUGUCACCGCCGUCGGAU
Molecule: long non-coding RNA, 23405 nt
Filed under: Salvia miltiorrhiza (redroot sage)
Lineage: Eukaryota; Viridiplantae; Streptophyta; Magnoliopsida; Lamiales; Lamiaceae
Description: long non-coding RNA (SMIL_LNC005141)
Source: RNAcentral